RNAcentral lists this ribosomal RNA (318 nucleotides) under Laimosemion frenatum. RNAcentral's name for it is "partial 12S ribosomal RNA". It matches the Rfam family "Bacterial small subunit ribosomal RNA", at positions 875 to 1360 of the family's 1533-position model. The record is from RNAcentral. Lineage: Eukaryota; Metazoa; Chordata; Actinopteri; Cyprinodontiformes; Rivulidae.
GAAAAUUACAAGCAUAAGCUCAAAACUCAAAGGACUUGGCGGCGUUUUAGAUCCAUCUAGAGGAGCCUGUCCUAUAAUCGAUAACCCCCGUUAAACCUUACCUUUUUUCGCAUUCAGCCUAUAUACCGCCGUCGUCAGCUCACCUUUUGAAAGCCUCAUUAGUAAGCAAGAUUGGUUAAGCCCAAUACGUCAGGUCAAGGUGUAGCACAUAAGAAGUGAAGAGAUGGGCUACAUUUCCUCCCCAGGGCUUCCCGGAAAAUGUUUUGAAACAAACAUAUUGAAGAAGGAUUUAGCAGUAAGUAAAAACCAGGAAGUUUU